RNAcentral lists this ribosomal RNA (213 nucleotides) under uncultured Glomeromycotina. RNAcentral describes it as "partial small subunit ribosomal RNA". The stretch from base 39 to 213 matches the Rfam family "Eukaryotic small subunit ribosomal RNA", at positions 686 to 863 of the family's 1831-position model. Lineage: Eukaryota; Fungi; Glomeromycota. The record is from RNAcentral.
GGGUUCUACCGUUGGUCGGGCUAUUGUCUGUACUGGCGUGUAGAAUUUCUACCUUCUGGGGAACUAUCAUGUUAUUAAUUUAGCGUGGUAGGAAACCAGGACCUUUACCUUGAAAAAAUUAGAGUGUUCAAAGCAGGCUUAUGUCUGAAUACAUUAGCAUGGAAUAAUAAAAUAGGACGGUGGUCCUGUUUUGUUGGUUUCUGAAUCACCGUA